Molecule: ribosomal RNA, 486 nt
Filed under: uncultured bacterium
Lineage: Bacteria
Description: partial 16S ribosomal RNA
Rfam family: Bacterial small subunit ribosomal RNA
Source: RNAcentral
AUUGAACGCUGGCGGCAUGCCUUACACAUGCAAGUCGAACGGCAGCACGGGUGCUUGCACCUGGUGGCGAGUGGCGAACGGGUGAGUAAUACAUCGGAACAUGUCCUGUCGUGGGGGAUAGCCCGGCGAAAGCCGGAUUAAUACCGCAUACGAACUACGGAUGAAAGCGGGGGACCUUCGGGCCUCGCCCUAUAGGGUUGGCCGAUGGCUGAUUAGGUAGUUGGGGGGGGAAAGGCCUACCAAGGCGACGAUAAGUAGCUGUUCUGAGAGGACGACCAGCCACACUGGGACUGAGACAUGGCCCAGACUCCUACGGGAGGCAGCAGUGGGGAAUUUUGGACAAUGGGCGAAAGCCUGAUCCAGCAAUGCCGCGUGUGUGAAGAAGGCCUUCGGGUUGUAAAGCACUUUUGUCCGGAAAGAAAUCCUUGGCCCUAAUACGGUCGGGGGAUGACGGUACCGGAAGAAUAAGCACCGGCUAACUACGUG